GAUCUUCAGACACCUAACGUAUAUACACAAUAUCCGUCAACUUUUAAAAGACGGAUAUUGUGUAUAUACGUUAGGUGUCUGAAGAUC
Non-coding RNA from Paramuricea clavata, 87 nucleotides. The record is from the annotation of a GenBank genome assembly. Lineage: Eukaryota; Metazoa; Cnidaria; Anthozoa; Malacalcyonacea; Plexauridae.